RNAcentral lists this ribosomal RNA (494 nucleotides) under uncultured bacterium. Its description in RNAcentral is "partial 16S ribosomal RNA". It matches the Rfam family "Bacterial small subunit ribosomal RNA", at positions 30 to 507 of the family's 1533-position model. The record is from RNAcentral.
AUUGAACGCUGGCGGCAUGCUUUACACAUGCAAGUCGAACGGCAGCGGGGAGGAGCUUGCUUCUCUGCCGGCGAGUGGCGAACGGGUGAGUAAUACAUCGGAACGUGUCGAGAAGAGGGGGAUAACCACCCGAAAGGGUGGCUAAUACCGCAUAAAUUCUGAGGAAGAAAGCUGGGGGCCUAGGAAUAGGCCUAGCGCUUUUUGAGCGGCCGAUGUCGGAUUAGCUAGUUGGUGAGGUAAAGGCUCACCAAGGCGAAGAUCUGUAGCGGGUCUGAGAGGAUGAUCCGCCACACUGGGACUGAGACACGGCCCAGACUCCUACGGGAGGCAGCAGUGGGGAAUUUUGGACAAUGGGGGCAACCCUGAUCCAGCCAUGCCGCGUGUAUGAAGAAGGCCUUAGGGUUGUAAAGUACUUUUGUUAGGGAAGAAAAGUCAGCUGUGAAUAAUGGCUGAUACUGACGGUACCUAAAGAAUAAGCACCGGCUAACUACGUG